UGAUCUGCAGCCCCAUCACUCCACCCUGUAGAAACCAAAACAGUGCAUUCAAUUUAAAUUCAAACAGACCUCAUAUGGGACAUAAUUCAUUUUUUCCCCUAUGGUCACGGAUGCAAUUGUCUUUUACGGCAGACCAUGCACAAAAUUUUCUAGAGUCUAGUGUACACUGCAUCCACCAUAACCCAAGUCAAUUUUGGUACAAAAAAAGAGUGAGGGACAAGUUUCUAGGUCUCAUUGAUGCCAAAACACAUUGCACCAUAAAAUGCAGUUAUUUAUUGCAAUUAUUUACACCCCACUUUUCAGGAUACAAAUCCUUCCCAUGUGGUUUAUGAACAAUAUAAUCUCAAUGCACAAUCUCAAAAUAUAAUAAAGCUGCUGUCAUUUGUCUCCGUCCGCCAGUUUGCCUGAGUGUUCUGCAUGCAGCUGUAAGGCUUGAGUCUAGAAGCAAAGUUUUACGUUUUUAAAACACUCUGACGAAAUCUAAAUGGAAGGGGUACUUGCAGACUGACAUAAUUGUAAAGGUUUUUCUACAGCUUGUUUCAAAUGUUCAAAGCACAUUAACGUGUUCUCACAAUGAUUAUUCCAAUAGCCCUGUAAGUUUGGUCAGUAAUAUUAUCCCAAUAUUACAGAUUGGAAGACUGAGGCCUUAAAGAACAGCACAGCUUGCAUAAAUCCACCUCGGCAAGUGAAGAGCAGUUCUGAAUGGGACACUUUUAAGUUUACACUUUGCACGGCUGAACCAAGUUGAGGCGUUAGCAAAAAGAGCCUUUUGGAAAUGCAACGGGCAAAUGCGACUAGAAGCAAAGCUCAUUGUUUGAAAGAGGCCUUGAUCUUGAGAAGAUAGCAAGCCCAAACAAGGAAAGUCAAAUAUUUGCUCCAUUAAUCGCAUUCCUUAUAAUGUGCAUCUGCCAAAGAGCACCAUUUGUACAAACUGUUACCCAGCUGCCCUUGUUCAAAUAUGCUGGAUACUCAAGAGGAGGGGGAAGAGGUUGGAAACAAACAUUAAACAGGACACAAAGGCUCUCGGGGUGCAGCUGCCGCCUUGUGGGGCUUGCUCAGAAGUGGACUCACAGGGCAGCUGCCCCACAGGCUUCCCACUCUCAUUGCGGAUCAACCCCCCCCAUCACGCAGGCCGACCCCACACUGCCACAAGGAGGGUGAGUCCCAAACCCCAUCCUGAGGCACAGAACACACGGGGGCUUCUGACAGGAGAGGCUGACACAGAGAGGCCCAUGUGCCCCCUCCCCACCUGAAGAGAUGCUGGGUCGAGGGUCUUCUUGGCAGCCCACAAGCGAGGCAUAAAGCAACUGUUCUCCUGCACGGGAGGCUCCCAGAUUCUGGUGUCGCAGCUAACGGCCUUUGCACAGCAGACUGCAUUCCAUGAUUCUAACCAACCUCAACAGCCAUCUCUUGGAAAUUCUGACCAGCAGAUUCAACCACAUCACGGAGGCGGAAAAUGGGGCAAAAGGGGUCCGUUUUGGCAUUGUAUUUGCAGUUCUUGAGAUCUCAAGGUCAAGAUUUUAUCAAAAAAAGUGAGCAAAAUGAUUAGCAGGCACAAAGAAGACCACACCAGCUCCUACCAUUGCUGUGUGUCCCAACGUAUCCUUCCGUGCAGUUUUCGCUAGAAUGGCACCGUGUGGUUUUAUCUGGAAACUGGAGAGGAAGAAGAUGGUGCAGAUAAACGGAAAGGCAGUGCUUGCCAUGCCCUCUCCCUCCACCCCGUGGCCUCCAAAACUAGCGCUUAUGAAAGGGUUUGCAUGGGGUCACAUCAAAACAAAAAAGCUCUUUCUGAACUAGUUAAUCCACUAUGCUUGGAUUCAUUGAAAUAAAUCAAAUAAGCGGGAGCUAACAAGAACAGCUCUUCACUCAAAGAAAGGAAGGAAAGAAACAACCAACGAGAGAGUCAGAAUUCUGCACAGAGGCAAAUUGGGCAGUCUACAUAAAUUGGGAUAUGUGCUAAAAACACUUUGAUCCAACCAAGUUGGCAAACACCACAAUUUAAAACAAUAGUAUGCAGAGAAAAAAGACCGUAGUACUUAUGUAGGUCCUCUUCCUUUCUGAUUGUGGGUGUCAUACAAUACAGUGGUACCUCGGGUUACAAACACUUCAGGUUACAGAAGUAGUACUUCAGGUUAAGAACUUUACCUCAGGGUAUGGGAGAGGUACAAAGAUCUAAUAGAACAAAAAACACCUUGGUGGCUAUCACCAAUUGAAGCUUCGUUACUCAAGCCGCUUGGCAAAAAGGGGAAGUGGCCUACAUAUAGAGAUCUACUGAGGGACCAAGAAGGGAAAUGGAAAUUAAAAGAGUUUGAGGAAAUCAAAGACCAUUUUCAGAGUUGGCUACACUAUAGACAACUUUAUGAGAUGUAUAAGGAAGAUAGUAAGAAAGGGUUUAGUUAUACAACUUCCAGAUUUCAAAAGGAAGUUAUAGAAGAAGAAGGGAAGCUGCUGAAGAAAGCAUAUAGUAUUCUGCUAGAAUGGGAAA
Podarcis muralis (Common wall lizard) is the source of this 2485-nucleotide non-coding RNA. The record is from RefSeq and is a predicted model, not a curated record. Lineage: Eukaryota; Metazoa; Chordata; Lepidosauria; Squamata; Lacertidae.